CUAAUACAUGCAAGUCGAGCGAACAGACGAGGAGCUUGCUCCUCUGACGUUAGCGGCGGACGGGUGAGUAACACGUGGAUAACCUACCUAUAAGACUGGGAUAACUUCGGGAAACCGGAGCUAAUACCGGAGUAAUAUAUUGAACCGCAUGGUUCAAUAGUGAAAGACGGUUUUGCUGUCACUUAUAGAUGGAUCCGCGCCGCAUUAGCUAGUUGGUAAGGUAACGGCUUACCAAGGCAACGAUGCGUAGCCGACCUGAGAGGGUGAUCGGCCACACUGGAACUGAGACACGGUCCAGACUCCUACGGGAGGCAGCAGUAGGGAAUCUUCCGCAAUGGGCGAAAGCCUGACGGAGCAACGCCGCGUGAGUGAUGAAGGUCUUCGGAUCGUAAAACUCUGUUAUUAGGGAAGAACAAAUGUGUAAGUAACUAUGCACGUCUUGACGGUACCUAAUCAGAAAGCCACGGCUAACUACGUGCCAGCAGCCGCGGUAAUACGUAGGUGGCAAGCGUUAUCCGGAAUUAUUGGGCGUAAAGCGCGCGUAGGCGGUUUUUUAAGUCUGAUGUGAAAGCCCACGGCUCAACCGUGGAGGGCCAUUGGAAACUGGAAAACUUGAGUGCAGAAGAGGAAAGUGGAAUUCCAUGUGUAGCGGUGAAAUGCGCAGAGAUAUGGAGGAACACCAGUGGCGAAGGCGACUUUCUGGUCUGUAACUGACGCUGAUGUGCGAA
RNAcentral lists this ribosomal RNA (728 nucleotides) under uncultured Staphylococcus sp. Its description in RNAcentral is "bacterial SSU rRNA". It matches the Rfam family "Bacterial small subunit ribosomal RNA", at positions 48 to 757 of the family's 1533-position model. The record is from RNAcentral. Lineage: Bacteria; Bacillati; Bacillota; Bacilli; Caryophanales; Staphylococcaceae.